Molecule: unclassified non-coding RNA, 1030 nt
Filed under: Hevea brasiliensis (rubber tree)
Lineage: Eukaryota; Viridiplantae; Streptophyta; Magnoliopsida; Malpighiales; Euphorbiaceae
Source: RNAcentral
GAAAAACAGGUCAAACACUGACAAGAGAACACUAACUGUACGUUGUUUUUGCCGAUGACAAACAAGAGAGUGUUAAAAAAAGAAUCUUCACAAAGAAGCGCUUGUUACAACUAUUGAGGCAUGACUACUUAUAAAAUUCUUUGCAAAAUACUAUACCAAUCAAAAAGGAGAAGAGAAAAUUCAAGUAUAAUAUAAAACCAAUGGAUGACAAUGGAAAACAAACAGUAGGAUUUAUCAGAAACACCCUCACAGCCUGAUAACACGAAGCAAAACUAUGUACAAUCUAUUGCAUUGCAUCAGAAGCAAAUCAUACGAUACAGACAUAUCAAAAUUAAAUGUCUCCCAUGAUCCAUGUCAAUCUGCCUUUGUUGUUUCAAAUUCACUUUUUUUUCCCAUAUCACAAAGAAGUGCUCUACCCCUCCUCCCACUAAAGCAAACCUAGCUCCAUAGACCUAAACAGUUAAACCUAGGGGUGGGCAUAAAUCAGUUUUAACAAAAAACAGAACCAUACCAUUUUAAUUCGGUUUUUUGGUUAAUUCGGUUCGGUUCGGUUAUUAUUUUUGGAGAAUUUUGAUUUUGAGCUCAGUUUGGUUACUUUAGCUAAAUUUAAAUUAAAAAAAAUGACCAAAUUUAAAGAAUUAAUGGACCUUUCUCCAGCCCGGCUCAAAAGUCCAAAUAAACUAAUCUGUGACGUAACCAAUGUUUAAAACGCAGCCCACUCUUCAAAUAAAAAGUUCAGUGACCUAACCCUCAUUUACACCCUUUCUGUUCUUCAUUUCUGAUCUCAAAUUAUCCAGUAUUCCGAUACCCUUCCUUCCCAGCCUCCCUGCCUCACUAUCACUGUCUGUGUCGCUGCCUCUGUUGGCCCUUCCCAUUCACUUCCUUUUUUUCAAGUUUCUGGCAUUCACUUUGGCGCUGUUUCAGUGGUGUUCACCGUCAUUUAUUACAUCUCUUUUUAGUUUCUCCAUCAUUCUUCGUCUGUGGAUUGUUGCUUGUUGGUGGAGAAGCUUUUUGAGGAUUCUCUCUUGCA